GGCUCAGGAUGAACGCUAGCUACAGGCUUAACACAUGCAAGUCGAGGGGCAGCAUGGUCUUAGCUUGCUAAGGCCGAUGGCGACCGGCGCACGGGUGAGUAACACGUAUCCAACCUGCCGUCUACUCUUGGACAGCCUUCUGAAAGGAAGAUUAAUACAAGAUGGCAUCAUGAGUCCGCAUGUUCACAUGAUUAAAGGUAUUCCGGUAGACGAUGGGGAUGCGUUCCAUUAGAUAGUAGGCGGGGUAACGGCCCACCUAGUCUUCGAUGGAUAGGGGUUCUGAGAGGAAGGUCCCCCACAUUGGAACUGAGACACGGUCCAAACUCCUACGGGAGGCAGCAGUGAGGAAUAUUGGUCAAUGGGCGAGAGCCUGAACCAGCCAAGUAGCGUGAAGGAUGACUGCCCUAUGGGUUGUAAACUUCUUUUAUAAAGGAAUAAAGUCGGGUAUGGAUACCCGUUUGCAUGUACUUUAUGAAUAAGGAUCGGCUAACUCCGUGCCAGCAGCCGCGGUAAUACGGAGGAUCCGAGCGUUAUCCGGAUUUAUUGGGUUUAAAGGGAGCGUAGAUGGAUGUUUAAGUCAGUUGUGAAAGUUUGCGGCUCAACCGUAAAAUUGCAGUUGAUACUGGAUAUCUUGAGUGCAGUUGAGGCAGGCGGAAUUCGUGGUGUAGCGGUGAAAUGCUUAGAUAUCACGAAGAACUCCGAUUGCGAAGGCAGCCUGCUAAGCUGCAACUGACAUUGAGGCUCGAAAGUGUGGGUAUCAAACAGGAUUAGAUACCCUGGUAGUCCACACGGUAAACGAUGAAUACUCGCUGUUUGCGAUAUACGGCAAGCGGCCAAGCGAAAGCGUUAAGUAUUCCACCUGGGGAGUACGCCGGCAACGGUGAAACUCAAAGGAAUUGACGGGGGCCCGCACAAGCGGAGGAACAUGUGGUUUAAUUCGAUGAUACGCGAGGAACCUUACCCGGGCUUAAAUUGCAGAUGAAUUACGGUGAAAGCCGUAAGCCGCAAGGCAUCUGUGAAGGUGCUGCAUGGUUGUCGUCAGCUCGUGCCGUGAGGUGUCGGCUUAAGUGCCAUAACGAGCGCAACCCUUGUUGUCAGUUACUAACAGGUUAUGCUGAGGACUCUGACAAGACUGCCAUCGUAAGAUGUGAGGAAGGUGGGGAUGACGUCAAAUCAGCACGGCCCUUACGUCCGGGGCUACACACGUGUUACAAUGGGGGGUACAGAGGGCCGCUACCACGCGAGUGGAUGCCAAUCCCCAAAACCUCUCUCAGUUCGGACUGGAGUCUGCAACCCGACUCCACGAAGCUGGAUUCGCUAGUAAUCGCGCAUCAGCCACGGCGCGGUGAAUACGUUCCCGGGCCUUGUACACACCGCCCGUCAAGCCAUGGGAGCCGGGGGUACCUGAAGUGCGUAACCGCGAGGAGCGCCCUAGGGUAAAACUGGUGACUGGGGCUAA
RNAcentral lists this ribosomal RNA (1459 nucleotides) under uncultured Bacteroides sp. RNAcentral describes it as "bacterial SSU rRNA". It matches the Rfam family "Bacterial small subunit ribosomal RNA". The record is from RNAcentral. Lineage: Bacteria; Pseudomonadati; Bacteroidota; Bacteroidia; Bacteroidales; Bacteroidaceae.